Molecule: long non-coding RNA, 922 nt
Filed under: Erythranthe guttata (spotted monkey flower)
Lineage: Eukaryota; Viridiplantae; Streptophyta; Magnoliopsida; Lamiales; Phrymaceae
Description: long non-coding RNA (EGUT_LNC003710)
Source: RNAcentral
UGGAAUUAGGCUCGAGUCCCGUAGAAGAUAGACAACGAUAUCCACAACCAUUAUGAUUCAUAAAAAUUGUCUCCUUGCCUAUGUUAUCUACCUCAAUGCAUUUCAUUUGAUUAGUAUUGACACAAAGAAAGUGUGAAAUCCAAUUUCUCAUUCCUAAGAUCCAAAUCCAAAGAGGAGAAUAUAUGUUGAACCAUCAAGAGGUCUCCACCUCAAGAUAGUGAUCGAUAACUCAAUUAUCCAUAUGUUAUAUGAUCGCGGCGAAUGAGGAAUGAUCGAGGGCUUGCUGUUUUCACCCACCAUCGGCAUCGUCCUAAACUCGAUAGCCUACGCCAUAAAAUCGAUAGUGACAAAUUCAUCGGGACUAAUGAAGCCGUAAGUUUUACCUUCAAAAGAUCCAAUCGCCCUUAGUCUAACAAAGCCAUCUUCUUCGUAUUUUUGUUCAACCGUACAUGUCACGUAUUUUUUGUCUCUAAUACAACAAAAACAUUGUAGCAACAAAUUGAACAAAAUGUAGCAAUCAUAUUUAGUGGGGGGGUGUUUGCUCAAUAUACACUGAUUGUAUGAUUGUUAUUCAAUUUUUGGAUCGCAGUUGUAUCCAUAGUUAUUGGAUUGAAAAGCCAACAACAGCCACCUUUCUCGCCACCUUCAUCGCUAUCUUCCUCUCCAUCUUCAUCGUCAGGUUCUACUAAAACCAACAAUUCAUAACUAGAACCAAGUACAUACUUGUUGGCUAACACCGAAAUAUUUAACUCGCAAAACUGUUUUUCUUGGACAUUGCUGAUUGAAUGUUUCUCAAGCCAAACUCCUUGAGUUAUCAUAAGCAAAGGAGUUGUCCUCUCUGCCUUUACAUCUUUCAUUUCCAUAUAGUACUGAUUUGUUUGCAAGAAGUUAUUGUUAGAGUAUAUUAUAUUAUAGAACUCUU